Physella acuta is the source of this 770-nucleotide non-coding RNA. NCBI's taxonomy places the organism in Eukaryota, Metazoa, Mollusca, Gastropoda, Physidae. The record is from the annotation of a RefSeq genome assembly.
CCUCCUCAUUUUAUUCUAGUGAAGAUAUUAAAAUGAAAUAGCAAUUUGACAUGGAAUUUAUUGAGUAUCCAGCAAAAAACAUUAAUUUAAUCUAGUAAUAGAAUUUUAGUGCAAUUUCAACAUAAUGUAACAAAUAAGGUGCCAGCAGUUGCGGUCAUACCUUAAACAUAUUUAAUAUCGUUAGAGUGGGGCACAAAUGUAGGACAUUAAAAAAUUAGAAAGAUAGUAAAAUGUGUUUUAAUUAGUAUUAACUAACAAUGUCUGAAUUUGUUAAUCUAAAAUACCCGAAACUUUAUAAAAUUUAGUAAACUAGGAUUAGAUACCCUACUAUAAAAAGCAAAAAUUAAAACUCUAAGCACUAAAACCGAAUUAUGGUUAAAACUUAAAGAUUAUGGCGGCAGUCUAAAUUAUUCAGGGGAACUUACCAGAUAAUAGAUAACCCCCAAGCAAUUCUACUUAACUUAAUAGUUUAUAUAUUGCCGUUUAGGACUUACUUAAAGUAUGCCCAAUCAUUUAUUAAACAAAUAUAAUACAGGUCAUGGUGUAGCAAAUAGUUAAGCCGUUGAGGUGAGUUACAAUAUUAUUUUUUUUCAGGUGUGAUCUUAAACAGAUCACAAAUAGUUGGACUUGAAAGUAAAGAUACUUUAUAUUAUAAUGAUUAAAUCUUGAAUAUUAUAUUAGAUUGUGCACAAAUCGCCCGUCACUCUCGUAAUUUACAACAAAACAAACGAGAUAAGUCGUAACACAGUAGGUGUAAAUGAAUUUGUACC